This 66-nucleotide transfer RNA is filed under the name Acidimicrobiia bacterium. RNAcentral's name for it is "tRNA-OTHER". The record is from RNAcentral. Lineage: Bacteria; Bacillati; Actinomycetota; Acidimicrobiia.
GGCGGGACGGGACGAACAGUCGCUCAUAACCCGAAGGUCGGAGGUUCAAAUCCUCCCCCGCCACCA